UACGGGGGGGGCAAGCGUUGUUCGGAAUUACUGGGCGUAAAGGGCUCGUAGGCGGCCAACUAAGUCAGACGUGAAAUCCCUCGGCUUAACCGGGGAACUGCAUCUGAUACUGGAUGGCUUGAGUUCGGGAGAGGGAUGCGGAAUUCCAGGUGUAGCGGUGAAAUGCGUAGAUAUCAGGAGGAACACCGGUGGCGAAGGCGGCUACCUGGACAGAAACUGACGCUGAGGCGCGAAAGCUAGGGGAGCAAACAGG
This 253-nucleotide ribosomal RNA is filed under the name uncultured bacterium. RNAcentral's name for it is "partial 16S ribosomal RNA". It matches the Rfam family "Bacterial small subunit ribosomal RNA", at positions 524 to 776 of the family's 1533-position model. The record is from RNAcentral.